This 386-nucleotide RNase P RNA is filed under the name Melghiribacillus thermohalophilus. RNAcentral describes it as "Bacterial RNase P class B". It matches the Rfam family "Bacterial RNase P class B". Rfam says of the family: Ribonuclease P (RNase P) is a ubiquitous endoribonuclease, found in archaea, bacteria and eukarya as well as chloroplasts and mitochondria. Its best characterised activity is the generation of mature 5'-ends of tRNAs by cleaving the 5'-leader elements of precursor-tRNAs. Lineage: Bacteria; Bacillati; Bacillota; Bacilli; Caryophanales; Bacillaceae. The record is from Rfam by way of RNAcentral.
AUGCUUGGGUAAUCGCUGCGUGGUCUGGCCAUGCAGAGGAAAGUCCAUGCUCGCACAGGCUGAGAUGCCUGUAGUGUUCGUGCCUGACGAAACCAUAAGUCAGGGCAGCUCUAAUGGAGCUGACGGCAGGGAAGGCUCCUAAGUCCUUUCGGGGAUAAGGUGCUUGUACCUUGAAAGUGCCACAGUGACGAAGUUCAGCUGGAAACGGCUGAAGUGGAACGAGGUAAACCCCGCGAGCGAGCAACCCAAAUCAUGGUAGGGGCACUCUCCUGAGGGAAAUGAACCGGCAGGAGAGACAGGCAUUUGCCUGUAGAUAGAUGAUUACCACCGGAGUACGAGGCUGACCACCGUUUGCAGUACGAAGGUACAGAACAUGGCUUACAGAG